UAAUGGCCUACCAAGGCGACGACGGGUAGCCGACCUGAGAGGGUGACCGGCCACACUGGGACUGAGACACGGCCCAGACUCCUACGGGAGGCAGCAGUGGGGAAUAUUGCACAAUGGGCGGAAGCCUGAUGCAGCGACGCCGCGUGAGGGAUGAAGGCCUUCGGGUUGUAAACCUCUUUCAGCAGGGACGAAGCGCAAGUGACGGUACCUGCAGAAGAAGCACCGGCUAACUACGUGCCAGCAGCCGCGGUAAUACGUAGGGUGCGAGCGUUGUCCGGAAUUACUGGGCGUAAAGAGUUCGUAGGCGGUUUGUCGCGUCGUUUGUGAAAACCCGGGGCUCAACUUCGGGCUUGCAGGCGAUUCGGGCAGACUUGAGUGUUUCAGGGGAGACUGGAAUUCCUGGUGUAGCGGUGAAAUGCGCAGAUAUCAGGAGGAACACCGGUGGCGAAGGCGGGUCUCUGGGAAACAACUGACGCUGCGGAACGAAAGCGUGGGUAGCAAACAGGAUUAGAUACCCUGGUAGUCCACGCCGUAAACGGUGGGCGCUAGGUGUGGGUUCCUUCCACGGAAUCUGUGCCGUAGCUAACGCAUUAAGCG
RNAcentral lists this ribosomal RNA (597 nucleotides) under uncultured bacterium. Its description in RNAcentral is "bacterial SSU rRNA". It matches the Rfam family "Bacterial small subunit ribosomal RNA", at positions 258 to 866 of the family's 1533-position model. The record is from RNAcentral.